AGAGUUUGAUCAUGGCUCAGAGCGAACGCUGGCGGCGUGCUUAACACAUGCAAGUCGAGUGCGCGCCUGUAGCAAUACAGGUGGCGCACGGCGCACGGGUGCGUAACACGUGGGUAAUCUGCCCUUCGAAGGGGAAUAACUCGCCGAAAGGCGAGCUAAUUCCGCAUAACAUUCCGAGGACUUUGGUUUUCGGACUCAAAGGCGUAAGUCGUCGGAGGAGGAGCCCGCGCACGAUUAGCUAGUUGGUGAGGUAACGGCUCACCAAGGCUAUGAUCGUUAGCUGGUCUGAGAGGAUGGCCAGCCACACUGGAACUGAGACACGGUCCAGACUCCUACGGGAGGCAGCAGUGGGGAAUCUUGCACAAUGGGCGAAAGCCUGAUGCAGCGACGCCGCGUGGGGGAUGAAGCUUCUCGGAGUGUAAACCCCUUUCGACCCGGACGAAUGCCCCGCAAGGGGACUGACGGUACGGGUAUAAGAAGCCCCGGCUAACUACGUGCCAGCAGCCGCGGUAAGACGUAGGGGGCCAGCGUUGCUCGGAAUUACUGGGUGUAAAGGGUUCGUAGGCGGUGUGGCAAGUCGGGAGUGAAAUCUCUGGGCUCAACCCAGAGUCUGCUUCCGAAACUGCUGUGCUUGAGUGUGGGAGAGGCGCGUGGAAUUGCAGGUGUAGCGGUGAAAUGCGUAGAUAUCUGCAGGAACACCCGUGGCGAAAGCGGCGCGCUGGACCACUACUGACGCUGAGGAACGAAAGCUAGGGGAGCAAACAGGAUUAGAUACCCCAGUAGUCC
Molecule: ribosomal RNA, 786 nt
Filed under: uncultured bacterium
Lineage: Bacteria
Description: bacterial SSU rRNA
Rfam family: Bacterial small subunit ribosomal RNA
Source: RNAcentral